RNAcentral lists this ribosomal RNA (1674 nucleotides) under Salmonella enterica. RNAcentral's name for it is "partial 23S ribosomal RNA". It matches the Rfam family "Bacterial large subunit ribosomal RNA", at positions 1273 to 2925 of the family's 2925-position model. Lineage: Bacteria; Pseudomonadati; Pseudomonadota; Gammaproteobacteria; Enterobacterales; Enterobacteriaceae. The record is from RNAcentral.
CUGGAGGUAUCAGAAGUGCGAAUGCUGACAUAAGUAACGAUAAAGCGGGUGAAAAGCCCGCUCGCCGGAAGACCAAGGGUUCCUGUCCAACGUUAAUCGGGGCAGGGUGAGUCGACCCCUAAGGCGAGGCCGAAAGGCGUAGUCGAUGGGAAACGGGUUAAUAUUCCCGUACUUGGUGUUACUGCGAAGGGGGGACGGAGAAGGCUAUGUUGGCCGGGCGACGGUUGUCCCGGUUUAAGCGUGUAGGUGUGUGUUCCAGGUAAAUCCGGUUCACUUUAACACUGAGGCGUGACGACGAGGCACUACGGUGCUGAAGCAACAAAUGCCCUGCUUCCAGGAAAAGCCUCUAAGCAUCAGGUAACAUCAAAUCGUACCCCAAACCGACACAGGUGGUCAGGUAGAGAAUACCAAGGCGCUUGAGAGAACUCGGGUGAAGGAACUAGGCAAAAUGGUGCCGUAACUUCGGGAGAAGGCACGCUGACACGUAGGUGAAGUGAUUUACUCAUGGAGCUGAAGUCAGUCGAAGAUACCAGCUGGCUGCAACUGUUUAUUAAAAACACAGCACUGUGCAAACACGAAAGUGGACGUAUACGGUGUGACGCCUGCCCGGUGCCGGAAGGUUAAUUGAUGGGGUCAGCGCAAGCGAAGCUCCUGAUCGAAGCCCCGGUAAACGGCGGCCGUAACUAUAACGGUCCUAAGGUAGCGAAAUUCCUUGUCGGGUAAGUUCCGACCUGCACGAAUGGCGUAAUGAUGGCCAGGCUGUCUCCACCCGAGACUCAGUGAAAUUGAACUCGCUGUGAAGAUGCAGUGUACCCGCGGCAAGACGGAAAGACCCCGUGAACCUUUACUAUAGCUUGACACUGAACAUUGAGCCUUGAUGUGUAGGAUAGGUGGGAGGCUUUGAAGUGUGGACGCCAGUCUGCAUGGAGCCGACCUUGAAAUACCACCCUUUAAUGUUUGAUGUUCUAACGUGGACCCGUGAUCCGGGUUGCGGACAGUGUCUGGUGGGUAGUUUGACUGGGGCGGUCUCCUCCUAAAGAGUAACGGAGGAGCACGAAGGUUGGCUAAUCCUGGUCGGACAUCAGGAGGUUAGUGCAAUGGCAUAAGCCAGCUUGACUGCGAGCGUGACGGCGCGAGCAGGUGCGAAAGCAGGUCAUAGUGAUCCGGUGGUUCUGAAUGGAAGGGCCAUCGCUCAACGGAUAAAAGGUACUCCGGGGAUAACAGGCUGAUACCGCCCAAGAGUUCAUAUCGACGGCGGUGUUUGGCACCUCGAUGUCGGCUCAUCACAUCCUGGGGCUGAAGUAGGUCCCAAGGGUAUGGCUGUUCGCCAUUUAAAGUGGUACGCGAGCUGGGUUUAGAACGUCGUGAGACAGUUCGGUCCCUAUCUGCCGUGGGCGCUGGAGAACUGAGGGGGGCUGCUCCUAGUACGAGAGGACCGGAGUGGACGCAUCACUGGUGUUCGGGUUGUCAUGCCAAUGGCACUGCCCGGUAGCUAAAUGCGGAAGAGAUAAGUGCUGAAAGCAUCUAAGCACGAAACUUGCCCCGAGAUGAGUUCUCCCUGAGACUUAAAGUCUCCUGAAGGAACGUUGAAGACGACGACGUUGAUAGGCCGGGUGUGUAAGCGCAGCGAUGCGUUGAGCUAACCGGUACUAAUGAACCGUGAGGCUUAACCUU